Sycon ciliatum is the source of this 474-nucleotide long non-coding RNA. RefSeq lists it as uncharacterized. Lineage: Eukaryota; Metazoa; Porifera; Calcarea; Leucosolenida; Sycettidae. The record is from RefSeq and is a predicted model, not a curated record. The transcript is spliced from 3 exons.
UUUGGCAGCGAGACUCUCAUCAUUCCCCAAACGGAACUGAUCAGUUCAACGGGAUUCUGGAGGUGAACACAAAACAUGCACCGAUGCCGAUACUGGCCGAGUUAGUUUUGUCCGUGGAACUCAUGAACUGCUGCACCAGUGUGGUGCCUUUUGAGACAGCAAAAAGCAGAGACUACUAGAAGUUUGUGCAAUAGUUUGUCAAGAUUGGCCGGAGCAGACGGAGAGGAAAGGUACCAUAGAGGUGCUGUCGGGCGGAAAGGUGGCGCGUUGCUUCUGCCGGCGGACCGUGCGUGCCCUGCUGCUGGCGUGACGAGCUUGCCUUAGAGGAGAGUUUAACCCUUGAGCCACUCUGGGCAGCGAGGGGUACUAACGGUUUACCAAUAUGAGAGGCUUUGUGACUCUCUGCGUUGUGGCAGCGCUGAGCGUUUUGUCUCAAUCAUUCGUGCCACCUGUUCAAGCGGAUAGUUCAAGUGA